CCUACGGGAGGCUGCAGUGGGGAAUAUUGGACAAUGGGGGCAACCCUGAUCCAGCCAUGCCGCGUGUGUGAAGAAGGCCCUCGGGUUGUAAAGCACUUUCAGUGAGGAAGAACGCCUGGUGGUUAAUACCCAUCAGGAAAGACAUCACUCACAGAAGAAGCACCGGCUAACUCCGUGCCAGCAGCCGCGGUAAUACGGAGGGUGCGAGCGUUAAUCGGAAUUACUGGGCGUAAAGCGCGCGUAGGUGGCUUGAUAAGCCGGUUGUGAAAGCCCCGGGCUCAACCUGGGAACGGCAUCCGGAACUGUCAAGCUAGAGUGCAGGAGAGGAAGGUAGAAUUCCCGGUGUAGCGGUGAAAUGCGUAGAGAUCGGGAGGAAUACCAGUGGCGAAGGCGGCCUUCUGGACUGAAACUGACACUGAGGUGCGAAAGCGUGGGUAGCAAACAGGAUUAGAUACCCCGGUAGUC
RNAcentral lists this ribosomal RNA (465 nucleotides) under Vreelandella stevensii. Its description in RNAcentral is "partial 16S ribosomal RNA". It matches the Rfam family "Bacterial small subunit ribosomal RNA", at positions 338 to 795 of the family's 1533-position model. Lineage: Bacteria; Pseudomonadati; Pseudomonadota; Gammaproteobacteria; Oceanospirillales; Halomonadaceae. The record is from RNAcentral.